AGUUUGAUCCUGGCUCAGAUUGAACGCUGGCGGCGUGCUUAACACAUGCAAGUCGAGCGGUAACAGGCGUAGCAAUACGUGCUGACGAGCGGCGAACGGGUGCGUAAUACAUGGGAAUCUGCCUUUUAGUGGGGAAUAACCCGGCGAAAGCCGGGCUAAUGCCGCAUAAGAUCUUCGGAUGAAAGCGGGGGAUCGUAAGACCUCGCGCUGAAAGAUGAGCCCAUGCCGGAUUAGCUAGUUGGUGAGGUAAUGGCUCACCAAGGCGACGAUCCGUAGCUGGUCUGAGAGGACGGCCAGCCACACUGGGACUGAGACACGGCCCAGACUCCUACGGGAGGCAGCAGUGGGGAAUAUUGGACAAUGGGCGAAAGCCUGAUCCAGCGACGCCGCGUGUGUGAAGAAGGCCUGCGGGUUGUAAAGCACUUUCGAUGGGAACGAAAUGUGCCGGGCUAAUACCCCGGCAAGCUGACGUUACUCAAUGAAGAAGCACCGGCUAACUCUGUGCCAGCAGCCGCGGUAAUACAGAGGGUGCGAGCGUUAAUCGGAAUUACUGGGCGUAAAGCGCACGUAGGUGGCGACGUAAGUCGGGUGUGAAAGCCCCGGGCUC
RNAcentral lists this ribosomal RNA (607 nucleotides) under uncultured bacterium. Its description in RNAcentral is "bacterial SSU rRNA". It matches the Rfam family "Bacterial small subunit ribosomal RNA", at positions 10 to 610 of the family's 1533-position model. The record is from RNAcentral.